GGUGCAUCAGCUGGAUACCAAAUCCAUAGCUGGGUAGCCAAGUCCGGAAGGGAUAAACGCUGAAGGCAUCUAAGCGUGAAGCCCCCCCCAAGAUGAGAUGUCCCUGUCUUCAAGACAGUAAGACCCCUGAAAGAGUAUCAGGUAGAUAGGGCAGAGGUGGAAGCGCGGUAACGUGUGGAGCUGACUGUUACUAAUCGGUCGAGGGCUUGACCAAAAA
Molecule: ribosomal RNA, 217 nt
Filed under: Roseburia sp. AF42-8
Lineage: Bacteria; Bacillati; Bacillota; Clostridia; Lachnospirales; Lachnospiraceae
Description: partial 23S ribosomal RNA
Rfam family: Bacterial large subunit ribosomal RNA
Source: RNAcentral